AGGAAGUAAUUAAAUUAUAAUAUCACCUUGUCAAGGUAAAAUUGCAAGUUAAACUCUUGUUUCCCUCUA
This is a transfer RNA of 69 nucleotides. It matches the Rfam family "tRNA". From Rfam's summary of the family: Transfer RNA (tRNA) molecules are approximately 80 nucleotides in length.